UACGUAGGGUGCGAGCGUUGUCCGGAAUUAUUGGGCGUAAAGGGCUCGUAGGCGGUUUGUCGCGUCGGGAGUGAAAACACCGGGCUUAACUCGGUGCUUGCUUUCGAUACGGGCAGACUAGAGGCAUGCAGGGGAGAACGGAAUUCCUGGUGUAGCGCUGAAAUGCGCAGAUAUCAGGAGGAACACCGGUGGCGAAGGCGGUUCUCUGGGCAUGUCCUGACGCUGAGGAGCGAAAGUGUGGGGAGCGAACAGG
This 253-nucleotide ribosomal RNA is filed under the name uncultured bacterium. Its description in RNAcentral is "partial 16S ribosomal RNA". It matches the Rfam family "Bacterial small subunit ribosomal RNA", at positions 524 to 776 of the family's 1533-position model. The record is from RNAcentral.